AGGGAGCGUAGGCGGCAUGGUAAGCCAGAUGUGAAAGCCUUGGGCUUACCCNGAGGAUUGCAUUUGGAACUAUCAAGCUAGAGUACAGGAGAGGAAAGCGGAAUUCCUAGUGUAGCGGUGAAAUGCGUAGAUAUUAGGAAGAACACCAGUGGCGAAGGCGGCUUUCUGGACUGAAACUGACGCUGAGGCUCGAAAGCGUGGGGAGCAAACAGGAUUAGAUACCCUGGUAGUCCACGCCGUAAACGAUGAGUGCUAGGUGUCGGGGAGGAAUCCUCGGUGCCGCAGCUAACGCAAUAAGCACUCCACCUGGGGAGUACGACCGCAAGGUUGAAACUCAAAGGAAUUGACGGGGGCCCGCACAAGCGGUGGAGCAUGUGGUUUAAUUCGAAGCAACGCGAAGAACCUUACCAAGGCUUGACAUCCCGAUGACCGUCCUAGAGAUAGGACUUCUCUUCGGAGCAUCGGUGACAGGUGGUGCAUGGUUGUCGUCAGCUCGUGUCGUGAGAUGUUGGGUUAAGUCCCGCAACGAGCGCAACCCUUAUCUUCAGUAGCCAUCAUUCAGUUGGGCACUCUGGAGAGACUGCCGUGGAUAACACGGAGGAAGGUGGGGAUGACGUCAAAUCAUCAUGCCCCUUAUGUCUUGGGCUACACACGUGCUACAAUGGCUGGUAACAAAGUGACGCGAAACGGCGACGUUAAGCAAAUCACAAAAACCCAGUCCCAGUUCGGAUUGUAGUCUGCAACUCGACUACAUGAAGCUGGAAUCGCUAGUAAUCGCGAAUCAGCAUGUCGCGGUGAAUACGUUCCCGGGCCUUGUACACACCGCCCGUCACACCAUGGGAGUUGGAAGCACCCGAAGUCGGUGACCUAACCGUAAGGAAGGAGCCGCCGAAGGUGAAGCCAGUGACUGGGGUGAAGUCGUAACAAGGUAACCA
RNAcentral lists this ribosomal RNA (935 nucleotides) under uncultured bacterium. RNAcentral's name for it is "bacterial SSU rRNA". It matches the Rfam family "Bacterial small subunit ribosomal RNA", at positions 564 to 1502 of the family's 1533-position model. The record is from RNAcentral.